Molecule: small RNA, 552 nt
Filed under: Pongo abelii (Sumatran orangutan)
Lineage: Eukaryota; Metazoa; Chordata; Mammalia; Primates; Hominidae
Description: processed transcript
Source: RNAcentral
UGGUCUCAAUCUCCUGACUUUGUGAUCCACCCCCCUCAGCCUCCCAAAGUGCUGGGAUUACAGUGCUGUUGGGGAUUUCCAGGUGGACGACAAGACCAAAGCCUUACUCAAGUACACUGGGGAGGUGACUUGGAUACCUCCGGCCAUCUUUAAGAGCUCCUGCAAAAUCGACGUGACCUACUUCCCGUUUGAUUACCAAAACUGUACCAUGAAGUUCGGUUCCUGGUCCUACGAUAAGGCGAAAAUUGAUCUGGUCCUGAUCGGCUCUUCCAUGAACCUCAAGGACUAUUGGGAGAGCGGCGAGUGGGCCAUCAUCAAAGCCCCAGGCUACAAACACGACAUCAAGUACAACUGCUGCGAGGAGAUCUACCCCGACAUCACAUACUCGCUAUACAUCCGGCGCCUGCCCUUGUUCUAUACCAUCAACCUCAUCAUCCCCUGCCUGCUCAUCUCCUUCCUCACUGUGCUCGUCUUCUACCUGCCCUCUGACUGCGGCGAGAAGGUGACCCUGUGCAUUUCUGUCCUCCUCUCCCUGACAGUGUUUCUCCUGGU